Molecule: long non-coding RNA, 679 nt
Organism: Homo sapiens (human)
Lineage: Eukaryota; Metazoa; Chordata; Mammalia; Primates; Hominidae
Product: long intergenic non-protein coding RNA 3104
Source: Ensembl
UCCGUCUCCUCUUUCGCCUCCUCCGCUUUGGGAGCCCCGGGCUACUCUUUCACAGCCCCUGUUGCCCUGUGAUCUGUAGGUCCUUGGGGACGCACAGUUAAGAUGACAGGACAUCCUGGAAGCUGGGAAAUGAUAUGUAUUCAUUUCCUACCACCGUAGUGGAAGAGAGAUUUUCCCUAUCUUUACAACUGAUAGCAUUUCCAACAGUAAGCUGUGAGAUUCUGCUUGAAAUCACCUCUCAAACAAAUAAAAAACAGACCUGGGAGACAUGCUACACUCAUUCUGCUGAGGAAAUAGGUAAGUAACAAUUUUUAACAAAUGAAAUACAUUACUACUUAAUUUUAUUCAAAAUUCACCAACUUAAUGUGCUUUAUAAAUAUUCUCAUACCUUUGAAGCUCUACUGAUAAAACAUAAUUUACAGUUAAUGAAAAAGUGAAGUUAAAAUAAAUACAAUCAUAUUUUCAAGGUGACAAAAUUAGAAGGUGACAAUGGUGAUUGAAACACAGACAUAUCUGACCCAAGGGUCAAGUCAAGCCGUUCUAUUACUUGGGAUAUUUUCCCUGCUUCUAUCUGGUUCAGUGAUGUGGGUCAUGAGCGUCCUACCAGGAGCUGCUACGCUCUGCUCCACUGUGUCUGUGAGGUGCAUUUUACUUUGCAGGUUUUUGCACUGCCUCACUA